AUCCAGCUGAUGAGUCUCAAAUAGGAUGAAAUGCACCUCCUGAAU
Molecule: non-coding RNA, 45 nt
Organism: Schistosoma haematobium
Lineage: Eukaryota; Metazoa; Platyhelminthes; Trematoda; Strigeidida; Schistosomatidae
Source: Rfam